This 1487-nucleotide long non-coding RNA is filed under the name Gadus morhua (Atlantic cod). Its description in RNAcentral is "lncRNA (ENSGMOG00000031506.1)". The record is from RNAcentral. Lineage: Eukaryota; Metazoa; Chordata; Actinopteri; Gadiformes; Gadidae.
CGAGGAACUGUGGUCAUUUUAGUCAGAGGCCACACCCAUCUUGAUGCAAAGCCCUAAUUAAAAAUAUGUGGAAUUUAUCUUGUUCAAAAUUUGAUAGGAGUCCAUCUUAAUGUUGAUAUGGCAGCCAGCAACAGUUGCUCUCUCUCUUUUCUUCACUUUUAGCUAUUUGUUUCAUAUUUAUUGUUUUCUAUUACCGUUUUUUUUUUUCUUCAGUAAGUUGUAUUAACCUUAGCCAACUAUGUUUGGGAACUUUUUUUUUUUUUUUUGUCCGUGUGUCUCAUUCUUUGGACAAUUUUUCCCGACCGCGUCUCCGUUGGGGCGCAACAAUGCGGCGUAUCUAUUGUUUACACCCGAGAUCAGCUGUUGUCGCUACAACCAUCGGCGCUGAUGCGGGAGAGACCUGAAAUCCCCAGAGUACUGAGGAGGAAGUUCAGGGGAUGUAAGGCUGGACGUAAACAUCGAGAAAAGAAGCAGAGAUAUAAACCAUCUCUCCCUUCCAUCACCAUGGGGAAUGUGAGGUCGUUGGCUAAUAAGAUGGAUGAGCUGGCAGGCUUGGUGAGGACUCAGCGGGUGUAUCGUGAGAGCAGUGUGCUGUGUUUCACGGAGACGUGGCUCCAUGAGGACAUUCCGGACGUUAAUGUUACUGUGGACGGCUUUCAGACUGUUCGGGCGGACAGGAAUCACCGAGAGAGUGGCAAGAGGAAAGGUGGCGGACUUGCUAUUCUUAUUAACAACAAGUGGUGUCAUCCUGGUCACGUCACGGUGAAGGAGAGGGUGUGCAGCCCGGACAUUGAACUGCUUGCCGUGAGUCUGCGGCCAUAUUAUCUGCCGAGGGAGUUCUCACAUGUGAUAUUCCUGGUUGUUUACAUUCCUCCGACUGCAAACGCGGUGGACCCGAGUGACGUCAUCCACACCGUCGUCGCGGGACUUCAGACACGGCACCCUGACGCAUUCAUCGCGAUAUCUGGGGACUUCAAUCACAUCACUCUGGCUGCAACACUGCCCACUUUCAAGCAGUUUGUUGACUGUCCUACCAGGGAAAACAAGACACUUGACCUGCUGUACGCAAAUGUUAAGGAUGCUUACAGCUCCACUGCCCUUCCUCCUCUUGGAAAAUCAGACCACAACCUCAUCCACCUGCAGCCCCUGUAUAAGCCCCAAGUCCAGCGGCUACCUGUGACCACCAGGACUGUGAGGAGAUGGUCACAGGAGACCGAUGAAGCUUUGCAGGGCUGCUUUGAACUAACAGACUGGGAGUUGCUCUGUGAUUCACAUGGAGAGGACCUUGAUGAUCUCACGGACUGCAUAACUGGGUACAUCAACUUCUGUGUGGACAGUGUUGUUCCUACAGUGACUGUACGCUGUUUCCCCAAUAACAAGCCGUGGGUCACCAGAGACAUCAAGGUCCUGCUGAAUGAGAAGAAGAGGGCCUUCAGAGAUAGGGACAGGGAGCAGAUGAGGCGGGUACAGAGGAAGCUUAAGGAGAA